AUGACUGCUUGCAAUGCCUCACAGGGCCACCCUUCUUUCUUCAUUCUCCAAGGAAUUCCUGGCAUGGAGGACAAACACAGAUGGAUAUCUAUCCCCUUCUCCUCCAUGUAUUCCGUUAUGGUGCUUGGGAACUGCACCAUCCUCCUCACCAUCUCCACAGAGCGCUCCCUGCACAAACCCAUGUUCCUGCUCCUCUGUCUGUUGGCCCUCACAGACCUGGGCAUGUCUACAACCACCAUUCCCAAGGUGCUGUGCAUUUUCUGGUUUGGCCAGAGUGAGAUCAGCUAUGAAGGAUGCCUGGUUCAGCUGUUCUUCAUCCACUCCAUCUCUGCCAUGCAGUCAGCUGUCCUGAUGACCAUGGCCUUUGAUCGCUAUGUGGUCAUCUGCAAGCCCUUGCGCUAGGCCACCAUCCUUUCCAAUAGUUGCACUGGACUCAUUGGCUUAGUGAGUUUGGUGAGAGCUAUCCUCUUUAUUCUCCCCAUGCCCAUCCUCCUUCAGCAAAUGCCCUAUGAUGCCAAUCGUGUCAUCCCCACCACCUACUGUGAGCACAUGGCUGUGGUGAAGAUGGUUUGUGUAGAUACUACAGUCAACAGGAUAUAUGGCCUGGUGGUGGCCUUGUUGGUUGCUGGCUAGAUCUCUCAGCUAUUGCUUCAUCUUAUGUGCUAAUCAUCCAGGCUAUAAUGCGUCUCUCUUCUAAGGAAUCCCACCACAAAGCAGUCAACACCUGCACCACACACAUCCGUGUCAUGCUUAUUUCUUAUACUCCCUCACUUUUCUCUUUUCUCGCUCACCGCUUUGGCCAAGGCAUUCCACCCCACGUCCACAUCAUUCUUGGCAACCUUUACUUCCUUGUACCUCCAAUGCUCAGUCCUAUAAUUUAUGGAGUGAAAACUAAGGAGUUCUGGGACAAAGUGACCAAAUAG
Molecule: small RNA, 923 nt
Filed under: Pan troglodytes (chimpanzee)
Lineage: Eukaryota; Metazoa; Chordata; Mammalia; Primates; Hominidae
Description: unitary pseudogene
Source: RNAcentral